CUGGAAAACUGUGGGCUCCUGGUAUCUCUGGGGUGUCCUGUUCCCAGACCUGAGCUGAUCUGCCACCUAGAGCAUGAGCAGGAGCCAUGGACCAGGAAGGAAGACCUCUCCCAAGGCACCUGUCCAGGUGACAAAGGAAAACCCAAGAGCACAGAACCUACCACCUGUGAGCUAGCCUUGUCUGAAGGAAUCUCUUUUUGGGGACAACUAACACAAGGAGCUUCAGGGGACUCCCAGUUGGGGCAACCCAAGGAUCAGGAUGGGUUUUCAGAAAUGCAGGGAGAAUGCUUGAGACCAGGGUUAGAUUCCCAAAAGGAGAAGCUUCCUGGAAAAAUGAGCCCCAAACAUGAUGGUUUAGGGACAGCUGAUAGUGUGUGUUCAAGGAUUAUACAGGAUCAAGUCUCCUUAGGAGAUGAUGUCCAUGACUGUGACUCACAUGGAUCAGGUAAAAAUCCAAUUAUUCAGGAAGAGGAAAAUAUCUUUAAAUGCAAUGAAUGUGAAAAAGUGUUUAACAAGA
This 517-nucleotide long non-coding RNA is filed under the name Pan troglodytes (chimpanzee). Its description in RNAcentral is "long non-coding RNA NONPTRT008254". The record is from RNAcentral. Lineage: Eukaryota; Metazoa; Chordata; Mammalia; Primates; Hominidae.